CGCUAGCGUGACGCGCUGGGGAAGGGGCGGAGGCGGCCGCGGGCCCGAUCUGGAGACCCGGUCAGUGCUGCCGCCGCGUCCCGAGGUGACCCCGGGAUUCGCAGGCUCGACAGGGUGAAGAGUCAAAUACACCUCGUUUUGUGGAGGCUUUAGAAAGAGCAGCAUGGGAAACCUUUCGUGCAGCUACAGUAAGAAAUACUCACUGAAGAUCCCUGUGGGAUGUGACGAGUGUAACAGCCCUUCCCAGACAGUGAAGUCACUUUGUACUGACACUGAUUUUCAGCCUUAACACAGAGGUUAAAAGAAGAGAAAGGGAUCUUGAGGAGAGGCUGAAGCCAAGGCCUCUGGUUUUCACCGAGGAUUCAGUGCAAGCUUGGAAAGAGUAAAGAGCUUCUCACCUCAUUCCUGAUAUCAGCAAAAGGAUUGCAUAAUCUUAGCACUUCUAGUCUUAAGUAAUAAAUCAAUAUCUGGAGCCUUGUGGGUUGUUUAUUUAUAUUAGGACAAGUG
Long non-coding RNA from Haemorhous mexicanus (house finch), 507 nucleotides. RefSeq lists it as uncharacterized. Lineage: Eukaryota; Metazoa; Chordata; Aves; Passeriformes; Fringillidae. The record is from RefSeq and is a predicted model, not a curated record. The transcript is spliced from 3 exons.